AAUGCCUAGGAAAUUGCCUUGAUGUGGGGGAUAACCAUUGGAAACGAUGGCUAAUACCGCAUAAUGCCUACGGGCCAAAGAGGGGGACCUUCGGGCCUCUCGCGUCAAGAUAUGCCUAGGUGGGAUUAGCUAGUUGGUGAGGUAAUGGCUCACCAAGGCGACGAUCCCUAGCUGGUCUGAGAGGAUGAUCAGCCACACUGGAACUGAGACACGGUCCAG
RNAcentral lists this ribosomal RNA (219 nucleotides) under uncultured bacterium. RNAcentral's name for it is "partial 16S ribosomal RNA". It matches the Rfam family "Bacterial small subunit ribosomal RNA", at positions 112 to 334 of the family's 1533-position model. The record is from RNAcentral.